Molecule: ribosomal RNA, 326 nt
Filed under: uncultured eukaryote
Lineage: Eukaryota
Description: partial 18S ribosomal RNA
Rfam family: Eukaryotic small subunit ribosomal RNA
Source: RNAcentral
CCCUUAGAUGUUCUGGGCCGCACGCGCGCUACACUGAUGCAUUCAACAAGCCUAGCCUUGACCGAGAGGUCCGGGUAAUCUUUGAAACUGCAUCGUGAUGGGGCUAGAUUAUUGCAAUUAUUAAUCUUCAACGAGGAAUGCCUAGUAAGCGUGAUUCAUCAAAUCGCGUUGAUUACGUCCCUGCCCUUUGUACACACCGCCCGUCGCUCCUACCGAUUGAAUGUGUUGGUGAGGAGCUCGGAUUGGCAGCAGUUGGUGGUUCGCCACCGGCUAUUGCUGAGAAGUCCUCCAAACCGCCCCAUUUAGAGGAAGGAGAANUCGUAGCA